RNAcentral lists this long non-coding RNA (1935 nucleotides) under Oryza brachyantha (malo sina). RNAcentral's name for it is "long non-coding RNA (OBRA_LNC002015)". The record is from RNAcentral. Lineage: Eukaryota; Viridiplantae; Streptophyta; Magnoliopsida; Poales; Poaceae.
GGCGGCCGGCCACUGCCCGUCAGCACGCCGGGGUAGAUCACGUCACGGCAGUUGCUGGUGAACAUGAACCUUGCUGACAUGGCACCUGAAGACGCACGCAGUGCACCAGGGAUUAGUGACACGGUUGAUCAGCGUAAAGGUACGUUAUAGUUUUCUCAUGAGUUAAAAAUUAUAACUUUAACUUAAUUUAUGGAAAAACCAUUAACAUUUGCAGUAUCAAAAUAAGUUCUGAUCAAUAUUGUAGAUGCCAUGUAUUUUUAGCAAGUACAGAAUGUUUAACUGGCAGGUUAAAAAUGAAGUAUCUUGUUGACGGACGGAAUAUAUACUCCUUCCAUUCCAUAUUAAAAGAUUUUAUAAGUUUGACUAGAUUUAUAUAUAUAUAUAUAUAUAUAGAUUCACUGGCAUAUAUAAAUAUAUCUAAACGAUAUCAGAAAGUCGUAACGUGGAACAGAAUAAAUAGCUAGUAAACCGAUAACUAAAUAGGUUAACAGAGUACAAAAUUUUACAAAGACAAGAUCCUUUUCUAGUGACAUCGUCGAAUUCGAUGUUAAAUUAUGUUUGUCAGGAGUCUAAUAUUUUGCUUUAACAGAUUUAUUUAUUAUUGAAGUAAUUGAAUAAUCCAUGGCCUGCUCAUCUUAUAUAUACACUGGCUGUAAUAGGCUGUAUCUUGCGCAUCACCAGAGAUAACCGAUGCUAUUUUGUAUGGGACACCUGGCAUAUAACAUGUUAUAUAAUGAGUGACAUCAUCUAAUGGUUAUCUAGUGGUUUUAUUACGGAGAUACUAUAUUUUUUCUCUUUGAUUUGUAUUGGCGUAUAUGAGAAAAAAAGAAGAUGAAAUCUAUUUUUUUUCGCACCGUUGGGCCUAAGUUCUUGUGACCUAGCUAAUUAACCAAAAUAAAGAAAAUAAAAACACCUCACAUCCCAUAAUUUCUACUCAGGAAUAACAAUAAUGUGUUUUUAUUUACUUUCUAUAUAUGACAGAUCUUCAUUGGCGAGAGAUUGGAAAAAGCCACAACAGUACGUGUAAAAAAACAAUAAACUAAGUUAUUUAUAGAUCCUCAGUCUGCAAGGAGAGGCCUCUUUGGUUCCUCCUAAGCUAAUUUCAAAAGACAAGUACCAAUGAUCUUAAUUAAAUCAACUACUCCCUAGAAAUCAACCCCUUGUAGAGUUGCAAUACCCUGAUUAACUUUAUUAUCCGAUUCAAAAUCAGUUAAUCCUAUAUAUUUGCAAGAUCUACCUUACAUGAAAAUCAUAGACUGUUUCUUCAACCGAAAAAAAAAAAGUCCACCUUGCAAUCAGAAAAACAUAUCAAACACUACAAAUCAUUAAAAUUUUUGAACCAAAAAAAAUCUCAUCUCGCAACACAAAAAAAAACAUAUAACACGCAUUAAAGUCAGCAAUAUGCAGAUGAAAAUUGUUAAGAGGGGCUGUUUAGUUACCUGGAGAAAGAACCGAGGCGGCCAAGAGGAGGAGAAGAACAGCCGGCGAGCCUCCUCCCAUUGCAACCAUGGAGAUGGGCACCAAAAGAAAUUGGUAUUGGACUCGGUUCGAUUUCUUUUUUCUGUGCCGCGAUAGGGGGACACCGGCUAUGUCUUGCAUAUGUGUAUUUUAUAGGGAGGAAUGCCAAGAUUGAUCUUAUCAGGUAAUGCAAGAAAUGGAAGGAUCUCUUAGAUCGAACAGAUCGAUCACACGUUUUAGGUAAUCCAACGUCUACGAUGGAAAGAUAUGGUAAUUUCAAUUAUGAUUCUGCACCAAAUCCAACUGGACUUGGGGACAGAUCGAUCGCAGUCUUGGCAAGGGUUAAACACGGCAUGAUUAAUGCUCGACAAAUAAUCUCUCUUACUGUGAAAAGGCAUAUUUUUGUGGCACCUAUAUAAGCUUAGUUUCCACGUGGUACGAAGGUUGAAAUAUUUUUUUUCCUUGUACAAUUCUGCC